RNAcentral lists this ribosomal RNA (429 nucleotides) under Bacteroidota bacterium. RNAcentral's name for it is "Bacteroidetes bacterium partial 16S ribosomal RNA". It matches the Rfam family "Bacterial small subunit ribosomal RNA", at positions 355 to 776 of the family's 1533-position model. The record is from RNAcentral. Lineage: Bacteria; Pseudomonadati; Bacteroidota.
UAGGGAAUCUUCGGCAAUGGGGGGAACCCUGACCGAGCAACGCCGCGUGAGUGAAGAAGGUUUUCGGAUCGUAAAGCUCUGUUGUUAAGGAAGAACGAGUGUGAGAAUGGAAAGUUCAUACUGUGACGGUACUUAACCAGAAAGGGACGGCUAACUACGUGCCAGCAGCCGCGGUAAUACGUAGGUCCCGAGCGUUGUCCGGAUUUAUUGGGCGUAAAGCGAGCGCAGGCGGUUAGAUAAGUCUGAAGUUAAAGGCAGUGGCUCAACCAUUGUAGGCUUUGGAAACUGUUUUACUUGAGUGCAGAAGGGGAGAGUGGAAUUCCAUGUGUAGCGGUGAAAUGCGUAGAUAUAUGGAGGAACACCGGUGGCGAAAGCGGCUCUCUGGUCUGUAACUGACGCUGAGGCUCGAAAGCGUGGGGAGCGAACAGG